This 253-nucleotide ribosomal RNA is filed under the name uncultured bacterium. Its description in RNAcentral is "partial 16S ribosomal RNA". It matches the Rfam family "Bacterial small subunit ribosomal RNA", at positions 524 to 776 of the family's 1533-position model. The record is from RNAcentral.
UACGAAGGGGGCUAGCGUUACUCGGAAUCACUGGGCGUAAAGCGCACGUAGGCGGACUCGUAGGUCAAUUGUGAAAUACCUGGGCUCAACCCGGGAACUGCAGUUGAAACCGCUUGUCUUGAAUACCUGAGAGGGUGGGGGAAUACCUGGUGGAGAAGUGAAAUUCGUAGAGAUCAGGUGGAACACCGGAGGCGAAGGCGCCUGCCUGGCAGUGUAUUGACGCUGAGGUGCGAAAGUGCGGGGAGCAAACAGG